RNAcentral lists this ribosomal RNA (253 nucleotides) under uncultured bacterium. RNAcentral describes it as "partial 16S ribosomal RNA". It matches the Rfam family "Bacterial small subunit ribosomal RNA", at positions 524 to 776 of the family's 1533-position model. The record is from RNAcentral.
UACGUAGGGUGCAAGCGUUAAUCGGAAUUACUGGGCGUAAAGCGUGCGCAGGCGGUUUUGUAAGUCUGAUGUGAAAUCCCCGGGCUCAACCUGGGAAAUGCAUUGGAGACUGCAAGGCUAGAAUCUGGCAGAGGGGGGUAGAAUUCCACGUGUAGCAGUGAAAUGCGUAGAGAUGUGGAGGAACACCGAUGGCGAAGGCAGCCCCCUGGGUCAAGAUUGACGCUCAUGCACGAAAGCGUGGGGAGCAAACAGG